CCCUGGUUAGCUCAGUUGGUGGAGCGCUCCAGCCUCCGCUGGAAAUCGAGAGGUCCCGGGUUCGAUACUCGGACCAGGCA
Molecule: transfer RNA, 80 nt
Filed under: Ixodes scapularis (black-legged tick)
Lineage: Eukaryota; Metazoa; Arthropoda; Arachnida; Ixodida; Ixodidae
Description: tRNA-Ser for anticodon GGA
Source: RNAcentral